GUUAGGAAUAUUCGUCAAUGGGGGAAACCCUGAACGAGCAAUGCCGCGUGAGUGAUGAAGGUCUUAUAGAUCGUAAAACUCUGUUGUAGAGAGAGAACACUUAUUAUAGGAAAUGAUAAUAAGCUGACGGUACUCUACCAGAAAGCCCCGGCUAACUACGUGCCAGCAGCCGCGGUAAUACGUAGGGGGCGAGCGUUAUCCGGAUUUAUUGGGCGUAAAGCGUGUGUAGGCGGUUUAUUAAGUUUAAGAUUAAAGUCCGAGGCUUAACCUCGGUUCGUCUUAAAAACUGGUAGACUUGAGUGUAGUAGAGGCAAGUGGAAUUUCUAGUGUAGCGGUUAAAUGCGUAGAUAUUAGAAGGAACACCAGUGGCGAAGGCGGCUUGCUGGGCUAUUACUGACGCUGAGACACGAAAGCGUGGGGAGCAAAUAGGA
Molecule: ribosomal RNA, 431 nt
Filed under: uncultured bacterium
Lineage: Bacteria
Description: bacterial SSU rRNA
Rfam family: Bacterial small subunit ribosomal RNA
Source: RNAcentral